UCUACGGGUGGCAGCAGUGAGGAAUAUUGGUCAAUGGGCGCGAGCCUGAACCAGCCAAGUAGCGUGAAGGAUGACUGCCCUACGGGUUGUAAACUUCUUUUAUAAAGGAAUAAAGUGAGGCACGUGUGCCUUUUUGUAUGUACUUUAUGAAUAAGGAUCGGCUAACUUCGUGACAGCAGCCGCGGUAAUACGGAGGAUCCGCGCGUUAUCCGGCUUUUUUGGGUUUAAAGGGAGCGUAGAUGGGUUGUUAAGUCAGGUGUGAAAGUUUGCGGGUCAACCGUAAAAUUGCAAUUGAUACUGGCAGUCUUGAGUACAGUUGAGGUAGGCGGAAUUCGUGGUGUAGCGGUGAAAUGCUUAGAUAUCACGAAGAACUCCGAUUGCGAAGGCAGCUUACUAAACUGCCACUGACAUUGAUGCUCGAAAGUGUGGGUAUCAAACAGGAUUAGAUACCCCAGUAGUC
This 460-nucleotide ribosomal RNA is filed under the name uncultured bacterium. Its description in RNAcentral is "partial 16S ribosomal RNA". It matches the Rfam family "Bacterial small subunit ribosomal RNA", at positions 338 to 795 of the family's 1533-position model. The record is from RNAcentral.